CCUGGUGUCUCAGAUGGUAAAGAGUCUGCCUGCAAUGCAGAAGACCUGGGUUCAAUCCCUGGGUCAGGA
Molecule: transfer RNA, 69 nt
Filed under: Odocoileus virginianus texanus
Lineage: Eukaryota; Metazoa; Chordata; Mammalia; Artiodactyla; Cervidae
Also listed under: 5 other names
Rfam family: tRNA
About the family: Transfer RNA (tRNA) molecules are approximately 80 nucleotides in length. Their secondary structure includes four short double-helical elements and three loops (D, anti-codon, and T loops). Further hydrogen bonds mediate the characteristic L-shaped molecular structure. tRNAs have two regions of fundamental functional importance: the anti-codon, which is responsible for specific mRNA codon recognition, and the 3' end, to which the tRNAs corresponding amino acid is attached (by aminoacyl-tRNA synthetases). tRNAs cope with the degeneracy of the genetic code in two manners: having more than one tRNA (with a specific anti-codon) for a particular amino acid; and 'wobble' base-pairing, i.e. permitting non-standard base-pairing at the 3rd anti-codon position.
Source: Rfam by way of RNAcentral